GUGCUCGAUCUGCAGUACAUAUACUAAAAUUGGAAUGAUACAGAGAAAAUUAGCGUGGCCCCUGUACAAGGAUGACACACAAAUUUGUGAAGUGUUCCAUAUUUUU
Small nuclear RNA from Cynocephalus volans (Philippine flying lemur), 106 nucleotides. The record is from RefSeq and is a predicted model, not a curated record. Lineage: Eukaryota; Metazoa; Chordata; Mammalia; Dermoptera; Cynocephalidae.